RNAcentral lists this ribosomal RNA (743 nucleotides) under Pantoea sp. M11(2010). RNAcentral's name for it is "bacterial SSU rRNA". It matches the Rfam family "Bacterial small subunit ribosomal RNA", at positions 56 to 789 of the family's 1533-position model. Lineage: Bacteria; Pseudomonadati; Pseudomonadota; Gammaproteobacteria; Enterobacterales; Erwiniaceae. The record is from RNAcentral.
UGCAGUCGGACGGUAGCACAGGGGAGCUUGCUCUCCGGGUGACGAGUGGCGGACGGGUGAGUAAUGUCUGGGAAACUGCCCGGUGGAGGGGGAUAACUACUGGAAACGGUAGCUAAUACCGCAUAACGUCUUCGGACCAAAGUGGGGGAUCUUCGGACCUCACGCCACCGGAUGUGCCCAGAUGGGAUUAGCUAGUAGGUGGGGUAACGGCUCACCUAGGCGACGAUCCCUAGCUGGUCUGAGAGGAUGACCAGCCACACUGGAACUGAGACACGGUCCAGACUCCUACGGGAGGCAGCAGUGGGGAAUAUUGCACAAUGGGCGCAAGCCUGAUGCAGCCAUGCCGCGUGUAUGAAGAAGGCCUUCGGGUUGUAAAGUACUUUCAGCGGGGAGGAAGGCGGUGAGGUUAAUAACCUCGCCGAUUGACGUUACCCGCAGAAGAAGCACCGGCUAACUCCGUGCCAGCAGCCGCGGUAAUACGGAGGGUGCAAGCGUUAAUCGGAAUUACUGGGCGUAAAGCGCACGCAGGCGGUCUGUUAAGUCAGAUGUGAAAUCCCCGGGCUUAACCUGGGAACUGCAUUUGAAACUGGCAGGCUUGAGUCUCGUAGAGGGGGGUAGAAUUCCAGGUGUAGCGGUGAAAUGCGUAGAGAUCUGGAGGAAUACCGGUGGCGAAGGCGGCCCCCUGGACGAAGACUGACGCUCAGGUGCGAAAGCGUGGGGAGCAAACAGGAUUAGAUACCCUG